UGGGGAAUUUUGGACAAUGGGCGAAAGCCUGAUCCAGCAAUGCCGCGUGUGUGAAGAAGGCCUUCGGGUUGUAAAGCACUUUUGUCCGGAAAGAAAUCCUUGGCUCUAAUACAGUCGGGGGAUGACGGUACCGGAAGAAUAAGCACCGGCUAACUACGUGCCAGCAGCCGCGGUAAUACGUAGGGUGCAAGCGUUAAUCGGAAUUACUGGGCGUAAAGCGUGCGCAGGCGGUUUGCUAAGACCGAUGUGAAAUCCCCGGGCUCAACCUGGGAACUGCAUUGGUGACUGGCAGGCUAGAGUAUGGCAGAGGGGGGUAGAAUUCCACGUGUAGCAGUGAAAUGCGUAGAGAUGUGGAGGAAUACCGAUGGCGAAGGCAGCCCCCUGGGCCAAAUACUGACGCUCAUGCACGAAAAGCGUGGGGAGCAAACAGGAUUAGAUACCCUGGUAGUCCACGCCCUAAAACGAUGUCAACUAGUUGUUGGGGAUUCAUUUCCUUAGUAACGUAGCUAACGCGUGAAGUUGGCCGCCUGGGGAGUACGGUCGCAAGAUUGAAAAACUCAAAUGAAUUGAC
Molecule: ribosomal RNA, 571 nt
Filed under: uncultured bacterium
Lineage: Bacteria
Description: partial 16S ribosomal RNA
Rfam family: Bacterial small subunit ribosomal RNA
Source: RNAcentral